Molecule: long non-coding RNA, 3999 nt
Organism: Capsicum annuum
Lineage: Eukaryota; Viridiplantae; Streptophyta; Magnoliopsida; Solanales; Solanaceae
Exons: 2
Source: RefSeq, a predicted model, not a curated record
AUAUGAUUCUAAUGGCAAUUAUCCAAGACUUCAAACAAAAAUUACAUUAUGUAAGUCUAAAAUAUAUAAUACUCCUAUGAUAAAUUAGUGAACAAGUUGAACGUCUUCCGUUAGCUCAUCCAUCUCUUCUUUAUUAGAGUUGAAGAAUUUUAAUUUUGACAGAAUAUAUCUACUAAAAUGGAAAAAGUUAACAUCGUAGUAAAAAUAAAAAAAUUAAGCCUAAGAACUAAAAAAAGAAGCCUAGUAACAAACAAGUAACAACAACUGCAAACAUUACCUUACCCUUACUUAUAAGCCAAGAGUUGGACGAACACUGCAUCUAUAACCUGUACUCAAAGCCUUAUAAAUUAUACUGUAUACUUGGCCCAUCUUUAAACACGUGUCUUAUUGCAGCACUUUAAUUUUUCUCUCUUUUAACGCGUGUUCACCUUUUCCAUAUGUAUACGACAGAUAUCUGAAUUUCACUUUCUUAUUAUCCUUUCUUCUCCUUCUUCUUUGUUUUCCAGUGUCAUUUUUGGACUGUAGAAAUUAAAUUUCUCUGAUUUUCUCUCUUAUACUUAUAUCUUUAUGCUAAUCUGAUACUGUGUGUUUUAAUUUAAUCUUAUUCUUUAAUCCCGUGUUUUAAAUUAUUGAUUCUCAAUAUUUUACUUAUAAAUUAUUUCUCUGUUUCUUUAUGUAUUCAGCAAAUUGACUAAAUUGACUUCAUCUAUAAUCUUUUUUAAAUCCAGCAUAUUAGGCAAGAAUUUUGCAUUUUAUAACAUUUUUAUCUAUUUCGCUUUUAUUAUUUCUGAAAGACAUAAAGGUAAAGUUAAGGUACAAGUGGAGUGUGAUCAACAAGGAUAAUUCCCCAUAUUGAUAUGGUUUGCUUAUGUCAAUAGAUCGUUGAAGUCGAGAAGUUGUCAGGGGCCAAAACUGGCUUCAUGCAUUAUUGAAUUAUAUGCAAUUGUUGCCUGCUUCUUCACAAGGUUUAAGUAACCCGAAUUUAUCUAUUUCUGGUCAUUUUGAUACAUUGAGUUACCUAUUCCUAUUUAUCACCCUGACCAUGUCAGUGAGUUGAAAAAGAUGGUAAGCCUGCUUUUCUUGAAGUGUUUAAAGAUGAAAAACAGAAAGGCAUUAGAUCUCAGUAAUUUCUCCAUUUUAGGAUAAUAAAUAAAUUAUUUUUGUUUCUACAAAGAUUUUGCAGGAGCAAGUUUAAGAUCAGCACAAUUGAAACAGUUUCCUUUACAGAUAUUUUGGUCAUCUUUAGGCAAUAUUUAAGCCAACAUCACAAUGUUACUGGUGAUGUGUUGGAACCUGCUUUUGGAUGUGUUGUUUGUUAAACACAAUGUGUACACUUGCUGAUCUGCUUGGCCCUUUUUAGAUUAAUUUGUUUUAAUGCUGCCAUAUGAUUAUUAUGUUGAGGUUACUACAUAUCGGAUACUAAUUUGGGUGGUUAUCAAAUGACUAAAGAAAAUUUGAUACUAAAAUAUUCUCUUACUAUUUGGUAGGUUAAGUGUUUGAUUUCUUUGGUUCCUAGGAGUUGAAUUGAUGAUUUUCAUGAACUUGAUUUGGGAAUUGCUUUGUGCAUGGAGUUUCACUUGAUUCCUGCAUAAAUGUUAAAUUAUUUUAAAUUUACUGUGAAAGAACUCGGUUCUAUCUUUUAGCCUUAUUGAGAUAAUGCUCAGUUUCAGGUCAAUCAUGUUGGUGUUUUUGAACGAUUGUUGUCCUCAUGUUGUGAGGUGAGUAUCUAGAAGCCCAUAUAGUUGUAAUUUUGUUACUACUAAACUAAAUAUUGUGGUUGAGUAUCGGCAUUAUGUUCUUUCAAUAAUUGUUCAGAGUUUCUUAUUUGUUGUAACCAUUGUUAUUCUUAAUGUUAUAUUGGUCAAGCAAGGUCGGGUUUUGAUCUUUUCCCUGUCUGUAUGAUUCUAUGUAUAGUUUUCGUUAUUAUAUAUGUAAUUCUCUCUGUUUUAUUUUUUCAAUUGCAAAAAAUGAGAUACCAACCAAAAGUUGCAGUUUAAUUGACGGGGACCUUAUAGUUAUUAUUAUAUGGAUUACAAUGAGUUCAGAAAGAAAAAAAGUAGGGAGGAGGAUUUGACAUAGGGGAGAAAGAAGAUGGGGUGUCUUAACACUGCUAACAUUUUGUUGAUGCAGCUUUUUGACUAUCUGUUGGCAUCACUUCAUGAUAUCUUGUAGAAUAUGAUUAGACUAAGUAUGUCUACAACAGCAACAUACCCAGUAAAAUUCCACAAGUGCGGUCUGAAAUGAUAGAGUGUACGGAAGCCUUACCCUUACCUGCUGGAGGUUGUUGAACUUUCUUCUCGAGUAAUAUGAUUUAUGGGUUUAAUAUAUCCUAUAUUAUGUAGGAUGUCUCACAAAUUUCAGUAUGUGAGGGUAAAACCUCAGAUGGUGCUUCCUAUUAGGAGAUCGACUGAGUGCUUUGGCGUUGAGUUAGAGAAAAUGCAAGUGAAGUAAGCAGUUCCCCUUAGCAUUGUUACCGCGAAAUCCAAUGUACAAGCCUCAGUCAUGAAAGAAGAUAAGUCGCCUGUUGCAGCUAAUAAAACUAGACCUGUAAGUUUGAAUAAGAACUAGGACAAAAUGAUUGGAUUACUAUCUCAUAUAGAAGGCAAGAUAAAAUAGUCUCAUUUCACCAUAGUAACAUACAUAAAUUUUGUAAUUAAGAGAAGUAUUAAUUACCCUCCUAAAAUUGUCACGUUUUAUUCAGUGUACACCUAAACUAUCAUUUGUCUUAAGUACCUCCCUUUUGGAGGUUUAGUGAAUUCUCUGGGACCUUCCAAAUGCAACUUGGCAUAGUGAUUUUUCUAAAAUGGUAAUUUUCUCCUCCUUUUUCUCACACGGAAGACAUGUCUUAGCUGCAAGUAACCCCAUUAAGCAAUAACAUUUACUGACUUUAAGAAUUUGUGUGUCUUGCCUGCAUGUAACUAGAAAAAGCUUUAAUAAUUCAUUUUAAAAUACUCAAGUGAAGUUCAUGAAUUCAAUCUUCUUUGUUUUUCGUUUUUUGGUCAUUUGUGUGUGGGGUAGAAUAUCUAUAGUAUAUUUUAUGACAAAAAAAUGGAUAAUCACCUUUUGAGAUCUUACGAUGUACAAUCAGUUUAGUUGAUAUUUUUUUCCUUGAGAAAGGUAGCUAAAGGCCAUUUAGUUAUUAUGUUAUUGUUCAUCAAAUAUACUUUUAGAUGUCUAUUAAUAUAGAGUACCAUCUUAUCAUGAUUCAAGGUGAAAGCCUAGCCAUUCCAAUACUGUCGGAAGAGCUAAACGUCAUUAAAUCUUCAUGGAUGUCCAGAAAAUUAUUUUUCUUGCAUACGUACUUUGAUUGCUUCUCUUUUGAGUGAGAGUCUAUUAGAAACAACCUCCCUACUCCACAAAGGUAUGAGCAAGGCCUGCGUACAUCCUACCCUCUAACACCCACUUAUGAGAUUACACUGGUUAUGUUGUUCUUGCUUUAGCUGUUUGAUUUGGGUAUUUAAAAUUAUAAUUUCUAUGUUAUUUUUGCUCUUUCUUUUCUCUGUCUUUGUAUUUCUUGUCUUAAUAUCAUCAAGGUCCUAUUUUGGACUCUUGAAUAGAUAUCCAAGGAUCUUAACAAAAACACAAAAAUAGAUAUCUAAUGAAGUAUCAGAACCUUUCAUUUUCGAGAAUGUUUUGCGACAGUAUUUAGAUUUUCUUAUGGGUUGUCUUUAUUGUUUUUAGCUGUUGCUCAUAAUAUGAGAAAUUAUCCUUUUCUGAACCAGCCAUCCGAGGGUAAUAUGUACACGGAAAUUGAUGCAGUAUGUAAAUGUCUAAAUGAGCAGUACGGGGUCAAAGAUGGAACAACUAACACUGUAUGAUCAAUCUUUUGGCAGUGGUCCAGCCGUUGAUCAUGCAUCACGCACACUCGAUUUAAGAAUUGAUGUUUUACAUUGUUCAAUAUCUCGUCUUAUAUAAGAAAGUUGUACUAUGUCACACAUACUUGUUUGACAUUUGUAAGUUAAAUUUAACUGGUUAUACUAUUUUUAUUUUUUGUUCCUA